Molecule: ribosomal RNA, 440 nt
Filed under: uncultured bacterium
Lineage: Bacteria
Description: partial 16S ribosomal RNA
Rfam family: Bacterial small subunit ribosomal RNA
Source: RNAcentral
CCUACGGGAGGCAGCAGUGAGGAAUAUUGCACAAUGGGCGAGACCCUGAUGCAGCGACGCCGCGUGAGUGAAGAAGUAAUUCGUUAUGUAAAGCUCUAUCAGCAGGGAAGAAAAUGACGGUCCCUGAGUGAGAAGCCCCUGCUAACUACAUGCCAGCAGCCGCGGUAAGACGUAGGGGGCACGCGUUAUCCGGAUUUACUGGGUGUAAAGGGAGCGUAGACGGCAGUGCAAGUCUGGAGGGAAAGGCGGGGGCUCAACCCCCGGACUGCCGUUGAAACUGUACGGCUGGAGUGCACGAGAGGUAAGUGGAAUGCGUAGUGUAGCGGUGAAAUGCGUAGAUAUUAGGAGGAACACCAGUGGCGAAGGCGGCUUACUGGACUGUAACUGACGUUGAGGCUCGAAAGCGUGGGGAGCAAACAGGAUUAGAUACCCCUGUAGUC